ACGCUGGCGGCGUGCCUAACNCAUGCAAGUCGAACGGGGCAAUUCCUUCGGGGGAUUGGCUUAGUGGCGAACGGGUGAGUAACGCGUGAGAAACCUGCCUUUCAGUGGGGGACAACAGUUGGAAACGACUGCUAAUACCGCAUAAUGUCAUUUGGGGGCAUCCCCGAAUGACCAAAGAUUUAUUGCUGAAAGAUGGUCUCGCGUCUGAUUAGCUAGUUGGUGAGGUAACGGCUCACCAAGGCGACGAUCAGUAGCCGGUCUGAGAGGAUGAACGGCCACAUUGGGACUGAGAUACGGCCCAGACUCCUACGGGAGGCAGCAGUGGGGAAUAUUGGGCAAUGGACGCAAGUCUGACCCAGCAACGCCGCGUGAAGGAAGAAGGCUUUCGGGUUGUAAACUUCUUUUAAGAGGGAAGAGUAGAAGACGGUACCUCUUGAAUAAGCCACGGCUAACUACGUG
This 459-nucleotide ribosomal RNA is filed under the name uncultured bacterium. Its description in RNAcentral is "bacterial SSU rRNA". It matches the Rfam family "Bacterial small subunit ribosomal RNA", at positions 33 to 507 of the family's 1533-position model. The record is from RNAcentral.